Phyllostomus hastatus (greater spear-nosed bat) is the source of this 793-nucleotide long non-coding RNA. RefSeq lists it as uncharacterized. NCBI's taxonomy places the organism in Eukaryota, Metazoa, Chordata, Mammalia, Chiroptera, Phyllostomidae. The record is from RefSeq and is a predicted model, not a curated record. The transcript is spliced from 3 exons.
AUGUGGCGUGCUCAGGCUGCAUGAAACCGGGUUCCGGAUACCGCCCUUGCCAUUGUGUUGGAGAGUUAGCUUUUGCUCAGUGGUACUAAUAAGGAUGAUAAAGGAAAUCCGCAGCUAAUCCAAACAUCUCAAGUAUUCAAACAUGGGCCUUAAACACUUCCGAUGCUUAGAGGAGAAUGGACAGAAAAAUACCUUUGGUUUUCACAGCCUCAGUAGUGAGAACCACUGGAGAUUCCAACGUGCAUCUCCCAAACCCGAGAAGGUGGAAGGGAGAUAAGGAGAGAACAGGGGCUGCCAUCUGUGGUGCAUUGUAUGCAGGAAUUUCUGGGAACAGGAAAGCUACCAGAUCCACUGCAGAUGAUCCUCCAGUGGUAGAAUUCCAGGCACUGCAGCAUCUAAAUGGAGAAGAUAUUUUGGGGUCCUGGGGUCUGUGGGGAAGCUGAUAGGAGCUGACCCAGCCUUUAGAUCUCACCACUCAGGCAGCUGCCUGCCUCCAGUCCACUCCCUAAGAGGCGCUACUCAGGCGCUAGUCCAUCCCAGACAGUGGCAGGAGGCCAGGAGCUGCUUGCUCGGCUUCCUUAAUUUCAAUGUCCAUCUGGGUUUGCAGAAAGUGUCAGCGACAGGGUCUCUAGAAACUGACAGUGAGGGCCCAGGUAAUCCAAGCCUAUACGCAGUCCUCAGGAUUUUCCCUCCCUGGGGGCUGUUCUGAGUGUCAGUGUUAGAGGUGCCUUCAACUGCAGUCACAGGAUUGAAGCUCCGUGCCUCGGGCAAGUUUUCCAAAAAAGGCUCCAAA